UAAAACACUAUUGUUCCAGUUUCUGAGACCCUCUUCACUGCUGCUGCGGAUUCAAAUGAUCCCCAGAAUCAGCUCAGCACGAGCAUAUAUGUAAUGGAAAAUGGAGGAAAAUCUCACUGAGUGACUGUUGGACAAAGUCGAGCACAGGUCAAAGUUACCAAUUCAGACACCUGCAGAAACGCGCCAAAGCUGAAACUCGAAAAGCUCCUUCAACUUCAAUCUGAGAGAACAUGAUGCUUGUCUUGCAUCUUAUUGAGGUCGGAGUGCACUCAAAUAUUACGGUUUCACAAGCAAUUGCCUCUUUGCCAAU
Coffea eugenioides is the source of this 310-nucleotide long non-coding RNA. RefSeq lists it as uncharacterized. The record is from RefSeq and is a predicted model, not a curated record. NCBI's taxonomy places the organism in Eukaryota, Viridiplantae, Streptophyta, Magnoliopsida, Gentianales, Rubiaceae. The transcript is spliced from 3 exons.